Molecule: ribosomal RNA, 1319 nt
Filed under: Staphylococcus aureus
Lineage: Bacteria; Bacillati; Bacillota; Bacilli; Caryophanales; Staphylococcaceae
Description: partial 23S ribosomal RNA
Rfam family: Bacterial large subunit ribosomal RNA
Source: RNAcentral
GUCUUCGAGUCGUUGAUUUCACACUGCCGAGAAAAGCCUCUAGAUAGAAAAUAGGUGCCCGUACCGCAAACCGACACAGGUAGUCAAGAUGAGAAUUCUAAGGUGAGCGAGCGAACUCUCGUUAAGGAACUCGGCAAAAUGACCCCGUAACUUCGGGAGAAGGGGUGCUCUUUAGGGUUAACGCCCAGAAGAGCCGCAGUGAAUAGGCCCAAGCGACUGUUUAUCAAAAACACAGGUCUCUGCUAAACCGUAAGGUGAUGUAUAGGGGCUGACGCCUGCCCGGUGCUGGAAGGUUAAGAGGAGUGGUUAGCUUCUGCGAAGCUACGAAUCGAAGCCCCAGUAAACGGCGGCCGUAACUAUAACGGUCCUAAGGUAGCGAAAUUCCUUGUCGGGUAAGUUCCGACCCGCACGAAAGGCGUAACGAUUUGGGCACUGUCUCAACGAGAGACUCGGUGAAAUCAUAGUACCUGUGAAGAUGCAGGUUACCCGCGACAGGACGGAAAGACCCCGUGGAGCUUUACUGUAGCCUGAUAUUGAAAUUCGGCACAGCUUGUACAGGAUAGGUAGGAGCCUUUGAAACGUGAGCGCUAGCUUACGUGGAGGCGCUGGUGGGAUACUACCCUAGCUGUGUUGGCUUUCUAACCCGCACCACUUAUCGUGGUGGGAGACAGUGUCAGGCGGGCAGUUUGACUGGGGCGGUCGCCUCCUAAAAGGUAACGGAGGCGCUCAAAGGUUCCCUCAGAAUGGUUGGAAAUCAUUCAUAGAGUGUAAAGGCAUAAGGGAGCUUGACUGCGAGACCUACAAGUCGAGCAGGGUCGAAAGACGGACUUAGUGAUCCGGUGGUUCCGCAUGGAAGGGCCAUCGCUCAACGGAUAAAAGCUACCCCGGGGAUAACAGGCUUAUCUCCCCCAAGAGUUCACAUCGACGGGGAGGUUUGGCACCUCGAUGUCGGCUCAUCGCAUCCUGGGGCUGUAGUCGGUCCCAAGGGUUGGGCUGUUCGCCCAUUAAAGCGGUACGCGAGCUGGGUUCAGAACGUCGUGAGACAGUUCGGUCCCUAUCCGUCGUGGGCGUAGGAAAUUUGAGAGGAGCUGUCCUUAGUACGAGAGGACCGGGAUGGACAUACCUCUGGUGUACCAGUUGUCGUGCCAACGGCAUAGCUGGGUAGCUAUGUGUGGACGGGAUAAGUGCUGAAAGCAUCUAAGCAUGAAGCCCCCCUCAAGAUGAGAUUUCCCAACUUCGGUUAUAAGAUCCCUCAAAGAUGAUGAGGUUAAUAGGUUCGAGGUGGAAGCAUGGUGACAUGUGGAGCUGACGAAUACUAA